AUAAAGAGUCAAGUAAGAUUAAGAUUAAUAAUUACUCCUAUUCUUUUCGAUCUCUGAGCGUUGAAUCAAACUCAGCUGAUAUAUAAUCCAUAGUCUAUUACUUACUGAUAACAGGACAGGCUGAGGAGUCUCUCAUAUUAUCAAUUGCUGGUAAGAUUGAUCAAAUAAAAUAGGCCUUGGAAAAGAGGGACCAGGAUGAUGAUGUUUUAGCCAAGUUGGUGGUACAGUCUGCCAAACUUCUGCCAAGGCUUCGGGCUCAGGCUCCCCAUGCAGGACGAUUCGAAAGUAACGAAUUAACUACUUGUUUGCUUGCUCUUUAAAGCAACAAGUCAUAUGGGCACCACUUUAAUAUGAUCUUUGGAAUUUUCCCUUUAUUUUGCGGAUAUUGCUACAGCUAUGGCUACUGGGAAGCUCUAGAUAUUAUGAUUUUAUUCUGCUACAGUGUCGUUUCUGAUAACUUAUAUGUGGCAUCGAGGAGUUGUGCGUAACUAGUGUCAACUUACAUCUUUA
This is a long non-coding RNA of Syzygium oleosum, 510 nucleotides long. RefSeq lists it as uncharacterized. The record is from RefSeq and is a predicted model, not a curated record. The transcript has 2 exons. NCBI's taxonomy places the organism in Eukaryota, Viridiplantae, Streptophyta, Magnoliopsida, Myrtales, Myrtaceae.